This is a non-coding RNA of Populus trichocarpa (black cottonwood), 136 nucleotides long. The record is from Rfam. NCBI's taxonomy places the organism in Eukaryota, Viridiplantae, Streptophyta, Magnoliopsida, Malpighiales, Salicaceae.
CCGCCCGUCGCUCCUACUGAUUGAAUGGUCCGGUGAAGUGUUCGGAUCGCGGCGACGUGGGCGGUUCGCCGCCAGCGACGUCGCGAGAAGUCCACUGAACCUUAUCAUUUAGAGGAAGGAGAAGUAUCUUCGCAAG